Long non-coding RNA from Microplitis mediator, 1474 nucleotides. RefSeq lists it as uncharacterized. The transcript is spliced from 2 exons. Lineage: Eukaryota; Metazoa; Arthropoda; Insecta; Hymenoptera; Braconidae. The record is from RefSeq and is a predicted model, not a curated record.
UUAUUUUUCAGGUGGAGUGAAGACAAGAUAAAAUUAUUUCGCAAAAGGAUUUUUAUUUCAAGAGAUUUUGAAAAUUUUUAUGUAUAAUUGAAAUUACGUAUUAAGUAUGUAGUUGCUGUAAAUAGUUAAUUACUUUUAUUGAAAUUAUUUGUGAUUGCGGUAACCCAUUAAAUUUAAUAAAAUUCCAUUUAAUCGUUUGGCUCGAAUAAUUAAUUAACUGCUGAGUGAUUUAAUUACUAACAAUAUAAAUAAAUUUUUUAAAAUUACAGUGCCACGGUUGGUGGUGAGGAAAGUCGAGGCACUCAAUUCUUACAACAACAAACCGAGUUCUCUUAGAUGUUCACGCUGUGGAAAACAGUACCAGCGGGAAAAAUCAUUCAGAAAACACCAAAGAUUUAAAUGCGAAUCGAUUUGGAAGACAGAAGAUCCGUUCGACCAAGAAAUUUAUGGCCGCCAAUCGGAAAACGAGGAAGAUGACAGAGAUUACAAAGUAGUAAAUUUAAAAAUAGAAGAACCCGAAAGAAGAUUUAUUUGCUUAAGAUGCGGAAAGUGUUACAAAGCACAGCGUUCAUUGUCGCGGCACAAACAUCACGAGUGUGGGAUCGAACCGCGGAACACGUGCGCGAACUGCGGCCGGAAGUUCGCGCACAAAUUCAAACUUGUGAGACACUUGAGGUCUUGCGAGAGAAAUCUAGAGAGAUAAAAUUAUUUUUAUUUAAUAUUUAUUAUUAAUAUAAUUGAUGUUAUUAUUUUUUUCUACUAUAGUAUAUUAAUUUCCUGUACUCAAUCUCACGAUGUAAAAUUAUUUAAAAUGAGCACUGUUUAAUUGUUUAGAGCUGGCUGAUGUUUAAUUAAAUAUAUAAACUAUAAAUCACUUGUUUAAUUUUUUUUUUUUUAAUUAUGACAAUAAAUUUAUUCAUUUCUCUGCUAUUUUUUCUGUGACUGUCAUGGUCUCACUUGGCUACUGAUUACUUGAGCACGCGCCUGAGAAACUCGUGUAAUAUUUAUUUACUUAUAAUUAAUUGUAAUAAUUAAUGAUGAUAAUAAUAAUCAGUAAUGAGUGCAAUAAUAAACUGACUGAUUAUUUAAAUAUUUUGUUUCAGAUAUCAAGGAAUUAUUGGAGGUAUCGCAGUCAUCCUCAGACGCAGAAGAUUAUUAUCCACAAAAUCUUCUUGGUGUCGCGUACAAAACUUCGGUUAAUGAAUCAAAAGAAGUACGAGAUCGUGAUGGAAAAUAUGUCUGUACAAAAUGUGGCAAAUCUUAUAUCGCUGCGACAUCACUGAGACGGCACAGACGUCUCGAGUGUGGUGUCGAUCCAUCUGAGAAAUGUCACAUUUGUAACAGACGAUUCAGACACAAAUUUGUUCUUACUGCUCAUGUACAAAAUUGUGAAAGAAAAUUAAUCAGUCUCGGUAUCAUUCCUUUGGUCGAAACAAAUGACGACUAAAUUAUAAAAAAAAAAAAAAAAAAGAAA